Molecule: long non-coding RNA, 275 nt
Filed under: Cyanistes caeruleus (blue tit)
Lineage: Eukaryota; Metazoa; Chordata; Aves; Passeriformes; Paridae
Description: lncRNA (ENSCCEG00000015989.1)
Source: RNAcentral
UGAGUUUAUGUUUUUCAAUUUAGCUGUUCUUCAUUAUUAAACCCACUUAAGUCUGAUUGCGUGAAACUGCUGUUAACUGCCCUUUCCAACGAUUUAGGGAAAGCUGCUAGGAUUCAUACCUUCAUUGCCAUUCCAAAAUGGAAAAAAAUCCCCCACUGAACUGGGAUUAGGAAUUCUAUUUAAUAGAAACUAUGGCAGCUGGCUGGAUCCCAGGGGAAGGAAUUCCACUUGUUACUUCAGAGAGAUGAUGGUAGGUUUGACCAGCUUCCCUUGAC